AAGAAGCCAGAGCCAAAGGAGUCGCUCUGCAAUUUAUUCCAAUGGGUGGCUUUUAAGAAGCUGGCAAUUUGAGACGGCUGGGUGUUAUUUAGUGCAAUAUGAAAUCAAAUGAUCCUAUUUCUCAAAUAACAGUGUCCGUGAGGAGAAGCGAACGCUCUGAAAAGGGAUCCUGCGGCUCCCCCAGGCAGCCCGAGCUCCUCCUGCAGACGGACACGGCCCCGGCGCUGCUGCGGUGCCCAGAGAGAGGAUCUGGGCAACAACGCAGUACCAACUCGCCUUGGCACCAAGGAGCGGGCUCUGAAAGAGGCAGGGUGCUCCCAUGCAUAUGAACACUCUCAGGUGCAGUCUCCUGUCCUCCUGUAAUGACCCAAAGUGGUGUAAGAUCUGCACAGAAGGACAUCAGCAUUGUUUCAGUUGGAGCCACAGAAGUUAAAGCAGCGGUUGCACGGGGCACUCCGUGGUGUAAAGCAGGCAGAUGAUUUAAGGGACGGGGGAGCUCAGCACUGUCAAUCUACUUGUCCCUCUUCAGACAACAGCAGCCACUUCAAUGGAGACUAGAAGCUGCUGGUUAAUUCCUCGCGUCUACAUCUCAAACAGCAGUGACCGUGAAUCACUGAGACCCCAGAUCUCCCCGAUACCCUCUCAGACUCAUGGCCUUGGAGCAGCCAGAGAAGGGCUGGGCGUACAGGAUCCCUUCUGGUCCACUGACAACAACAUUACUAGAGACUUUCAAUGAUUUCAACAGGCUCUGGAUAAGGCCCUUACAUUCUCAAUAAACACUGUAUGGCUUUAAACACUGUAUUCUUGUUCUUAAGUUUGGUAUUAAAUCAGCUGUUAUCAGUGGCUCCUGCGUUAACAAGUUCUUG
Molecule: long non-coding RNA, 866 nt
Filed under: Gallus gallus (chicken)
Lineage: Eukaryota; Metazoa; Chordata; Aves; Galliformes; Phasianidae
Description: long non-coding RNA NONGGAT005748
Source: RNAcentral